Molecule: transfer RNA, 68 nt
Filed under: Marmota monax (woodchuck)
Lineage: Eukaryota; Metazoa; Chordata; Mammalia; Rodentia; Sciuridae
Description: tRNA.Ala
Rfam family: tRNA (bases 4-62)
About the family: Transfer RNA (tRNA) molecules are approximately 80 nucleotides in length. Their secondary structure includes four short double-helical elements and three loops (D, anti-codon, and T loops).
Source: RNAcentral
GCCGUGGCUCAGUUGUAGAGCACUUGCCUAGCAUGCAUGAGGCACUGGGUUCAAUCCUCAGCACAACA